ACGCUUAUUUUCCUCAUAAAAUACAUCAGUAAUGACUGUCGAACACAAAACAGAAUGUGGACAAUAUCUUUUUCUGCAUUUUCCACCCGCAGAAAUGUACAAAUGAGUCGUAUUUAAUGGGCACUGAGCCAGCAUUUCCUCCUCUCCUCUGCUGUAGCUGUCAGACCAUGAGAGCCUGAGGGAAGAACAAUGUUAUCAAAAUGACAAACUAAGGGACAGUUGUCCCACAUCAAAUCAGUCCUGCUCUGAUUCUAUGCAGUGUCUUGGAGAAAUAUUAUCCACUGUCAACCACAGUUGAUCAUCAAUAUUAGCUUUGCCACUUGCAGACACCAUCAACAGAGAUUUGAAAAAGAAAAAGAGAAGAAGAAAUCAUGGAUGAGUUGCUGAAUCAAACUAAUGAAACAUUCAUCAGACUGAGGAGAGGAAGAAUCCUAUGUGUUGAUAUAGUAGCUAUGAUUUGUGCUUUUUUCGGCUUUCUCUGUGUAGCCGUGAUCACAGGGUUACCGAGGUGGAAACUCUGAAUCAUGGACUGAAUAUGAAGGACUUUGGACUAAAUGUUCUUUUAUCCAUGAUGCCAGUUCAUUAACAUGCAAAGCCUAUUUAGAUCCAGCCCUGUAGUCAGCUCGUUACUUCGUAGCUCUCUUUGGUUCUGGCUGCGGCUGCAUGGAUCAGUUCUCUCAUGAGCAUUCAGUGCACCCAUCCCGACAGUGCCAGGCGCUGCCUGAUUGGAGCAGCCUGUUUGCACCUGCUCGCUUCACUGACUACUCUCAUCCCUGUGUCCUGGACGGCACUCAGCAUCCUCCAUGCCGAUCGUGGUCUGAGCACCAUUCGGUUCCACAUGGGGGUGGCUCUAUUUGUAGGCUGGCUGGCCUCGUGUUUUCUAUGCACAGCCGGGUUGUUGCAGUGUUGUUCUGGGCCCCUCGUCAGGGCAGGAGAAGAAACCAGCAUCGCUGAGUCCUCCAGCCAUAGUGACAUUAGUUUGGACACACUGUUCAGCUCAUCCAGCCUAGACUCUCAUGCAAAUGCAUGCAUUAGUGAAUUGUAAAAAAAUGGUUAAGUUGGUAACAGUAGUCUUUUUUCAAUUUACUUAUAAAUAAGGAAAAUAAAAACUGAAGGGAUAUUUCA
This is a long non-coding RNA of Onychostoma macrolepis, 1125 nucleotides long. RefSeq lists it as uncharacterized. NCBI's taxonomy places the organism in Eukaryota, Metazoa, Chordata, Actinopteri, Cypriniformes, Cyprinidae. The record is from RefSeq and is a predicted model, not a curated record. The transcript has 3 exons.